RNAcentral lists this unclassified non-coding RNA (561 nucleotides) under Hevea brasiliensis (rubber tree). Lineage: Eukaryota; Viridiplantae; Streptophyta; Magnoliopsida; Malpighiales; Euphorbiaceae. The record is from RNAcentral.
GGCAAUUAUUCUCAGAUCUCCCACAACAGACCAUUGUAUUAACGGGAAUAAUCCUGCUGGGGUCUUGCUAUCUUACCUUGUAAAAAGCAAGGAGUUGGUUUUCUUUAGAGGCUACUAAGGAGAAGGAAGAAAGGAAGCAACAAGAAGUUCCAAUCCAUAGGAAAGCUAUGACUGGGAAAAGGUAGAAGCUUAAGCUUAAGCUAAAACAGAACUCUUGCUGCUGCCACACCCAGAGGAGAAAUGGAAGCCAAAUUUGCUCAUGGUCUGAUCUAUCUUAAUAUAUUCCUUGGAUGAUGCUUAUUGCUUUAACAUCUCCAAAAUACAGCUCAAGUAUUCACUAGCAUAUGUGGGAACUUUGUAGGCUAAAUAUUAGUGAAUUUGAAAGCCUCUUGCAAAGCUUUCUUUUGAAAUGUAACCAAAUAUAUAGGUGUCCUGCAACUUAGAUGCUCUACUUCAAAGGUUAGAGAUGAUUUAAUUGAUUAUACAAUUGAGACACCAAACCUCAUAAUUUAAAGACUGCACUACACUAAGUUUCUGCACUACGCUAAGUUUGCGGAGUCA